RNAcentral lists this long non-coding RNA (944 nucleotides) under Triticum aestivum (bread wheat). RNAcentral describes it as "long non-coding RNA (TAES_LNC025404)". Lineage: Eukaryota; Viridiplantae; Streptophyta; Magnoliopsida; Poales; Poaceae. The record is from RNAcentral.
UUUUUAUCACUUAUCAUUUGCUCUCAUAUUGUUCUUCUAAAAUUUAGUACUAACAUCAUCAUGUCAUUUAUGCAGACUGCAGCAUUUUUGGACGUACCGUGAGAUGGAUUAUGUCAAGCAGUGGCUCCGCCCUAGGAUCGCAGUGCCCAGAAUCACAAUGCCCAGACACCAUGGAAGGCUGUAGUUUAGUACUCCCUCUGUAAAGAAAUAUAAGAUCAUUUAGAUUACUAAUAUAGUGAUCUAAACAAUCUGAAAGGCUGUAGUUUAGUAGUAAGAGUCGUACCACCAUUACUAGUAUAGUAAGUAAUAAAGAGGAUGGCAGUAUUGUAUGGCAGUAAAUAAUAAAGAGGGUGGCAUUAUUGUAUGGCAGUAAGUACUAAAGAGGAUGGCAGUAUUGUAUGGCAGUAAAUACUAAAGAGGGUGGCAUUAUUGUAUGGCAGUAAGUACUAAAGAGGAUGAACAUUUGCAAUUUCCAGUGAAGCUUGGCAUAGGUGGCUUUGGCAUGGGUGCUGCCGUCAAGAUGAAGACAAGGUUCCGCAAGCAUCAACCAGUGUCCAUGAAAAGGCUACAAGCAAUGCAGCCUGUAAAAUGAUCUCCGGCAAUAUAGCGCCAUAGCACAUAGAUUCACCUCUUUCAAGUUCCUAAUUAUAUCCUGGUUGUCUGAACUCCGAAGUAAUCACGAUAUGCCUUUGUGUUCAUGUCUGGCACCAGGGCCAAGGCUUUGAUGCGAGCGUCGUCUGGGCGAGUGAGCACUGCAAUCUAUUUUUGGGUUGUUUUCAGACUUCAGACACAAGCGGUAGUCAGCUCGGUUUAAGUCGAUAAACUAAGCUUGUGAUUUCUCCUCCAAAUCAUCGAGGAAGUGAUUAAUGGAACCAAAAGUGGACGCUGACCUAUAACAGAUGACUUAAUGAAUUACCUUUCUUCUCAAAGACCAUGUGACCGAG